This 265-nucleotide unclassified non-coding RNA is filed under the name Herpotrichiellaceae sp. Its description in RNAcentral is "partial contains 5.8S ribosomal RNA, internal transcribed spacer 2, and large subunit ribosomal RNA". Lineage: Eukaryota; Fungi; Ascomycota; Eurotiomycetes; Chaetothyriales; Herpotrichiellaceae. The record is from RNAcentral.
CGCACAUUGCGCCCUUUGGUAUUCCGAAGGGCAUGCCUGUUCGAGCGUCAUUAUCACCCCUCGAGCCCUGUGCUUGGUGUUGGACGGCCGGUCGAGCGAUCGACCCCUCCUAAAGACAAUGACGGCGGCCUGUGGCUCCCCCGGUACACUGAGCUUUUAACUGAGCACGUAUCGGACAAGGGUGCCCAGGACCCGGUCCUCUCCUUUAAUUAGGAAACUUCUAAAGGUUGACCUCGGAUCAGGUAGGAAUACGCGCUGAACUUAA